RNAcentral lists this non-coding RNA (21 nucleotides) under Arabidopsis thaliana (thale cress). Lineage: Eukaryota; Viridiplantae; Streptophyta; Magnoliopsida; Brassicales; Brassicaceae. The record is from RNAcentral.
AGGUACAGACAUCGUGAUGGU